UACGGGGGGUGCGAGCGUUGUCCGGAAUCACUGGGCGUAAAGGGCGCGUAGGUGGUUUGAUAAGGGUGUGGUGAAAGCCCGGGGCUCAACCCCGGGUCUGCCGUGCCGACUGUCAAACUCGAGGGCUGUAGAGGCAGACGGAAUUCCGGGUGUAGCGGUGGAAUGCGUAGAGAUCCGGAAGAACACCAGUGGCGAAGGCGGCCCGCUGGGCAGUGGCUGACGCUGAGGCGCGACAGCGUGGGGAGCAAACAGG
RNAcentral lists this ribosomal RNA (253 nucleotides) under uncultured bacterium. Its description in RNAcentral is "partial 16S ribosomal RNA". It matches the Rfam family "Bacterial small subunit ribosomal RNA", at positions 524 to 776 of the family's 1533-position model. The record is from RNAcentral.